GAUGAACGCUGGCGGCGUGCCUAAUACAUGCAAGUCGAGCGAACAGAUAAGGAGCUUGCUCCUUUGACGUUAGCGGCGGACGGGUGAGUAACACGUGGAUAACCUACCUAUAAGACUGGGAUAACUUCGGGAAACCGGAGCUAAUACCGGAUAACAUAUUGAACCGCAUGGUUCAAUAGUGAAAGGCGGCUUUGCUGUCACUUAUAGAUGGAUCCGCGCCGUAUUAGCUAGUUGGUAAGGUAACGGCUUACCAAGGCAACGAUACGUAGCCGACCUGAGAGGGUGAUCGGCCACACUGGAACUGAGACACGGUCCAGACUCCUACGGGAGGCAGCAGUAGGGAAUCUUCCGCAAUGGGCGAAAGCCUGACGGAGCAACGGCGCGUGGGUGAUGAAGGUCUUCGGAUCGUAAAACUCUGUUAUCAGGGAAGAACAAAUGUGUAAGUAACUGUGCACAUCUUGACGGUACCUGAUCAGAAAGCCACGGCUAACUACGUG
RNAcentral lists this ribosomal RNA (497 nucleotides) under uncultured bacterium. RNAcentral describes it as "partial 16S ribosomal RNA". It matches the Rfam family "Bacterial small subunit ribosomal RNA", at positions 28 to 507 of the family's 1533-position model. The record is from RNAcentral.